RNAcentral lists this ribosomal RNA (253 nucleotides) under uncultured bacterium. Its description in RNAcentral is "partial 16S ribosomal RNA". It matches the Rfam family "Bacterial small subunit ribosomal RNA", at positions 524 to 776 of the family's 1533-position model. The record is from RNAcentral.
UACGAAGGGGGCUAGCGUUGCUCGGAAUUACUGGGCGUAAAGGGCGCGUAGGCGGUUUCGCAAGUCAAGGGUGAAAUCCCGGAGCUUAACUCCGGAAUUGCUUUUGAUACUGUGAGGCUAGAGUGUAUUAGAGGAUGGCGGAAUUCCUAGUGUAGUGGUGAAAUACGUAGAUAUUAGGAAGAACACCGGUGGCGAAGGCGGCCAUCUGGGAUACAACUGACGCUGAGGCGCGAAAGCGUGGGGAUCAAACAGG